GACUAACCCCAACCCCAAACCCUAAUUCAUUUACCCUGCUCACCUAGCAGCCCCUUUUCUCUUUCCUCUCUCUAUUCUCUCAAAUCGUAGACCCAUUAAUCCCAGAAACCUUGUGCCUUCUGACUCCUCGAAUCUCAUCGGUAUCUCCCUAUUACAUCAUAUGAAUUUGAAAUCUCAUGUUACUUACACUCAAAGAUGAAACUUCAUGUCUUCAAGAUCUUCUGGUGCUACAACAAAAUCAGAGCAUGCAUGGCAUCUCAUUAUGUUUAUUCGAAACCAGAGGUACCUCUGGAUUUCCGGUCUUUGUGCGAUGGUAUUUCUUGCCUGCAACGACUCUCUUCAACUCAGUCUAGGCUUGAGGUUUGGUUUCUUAGCGGCUAAAUAAAAGGUUUCGCUUGGUUUUAUGCUCUGCGAAAGAAUAUGUAACUGAUCUGGGCCUACUGAGUUUUCAAGAACUCAGGCCCAAGUUCAAGCUUUUAGUUUGAAGUCAUGGGAGCCACUGCUGCUUGUCUGCUGUUCGCUGGGCCUAACCUUCUUCAGAACCAGAUUACUGAGUCCAAUUCCCUUUCCUUCCUCAAUAGAUGAAUUGAAUCUAUUAUCUUUUCUUUACAUGAGUAUAAUACUAACGAUAUUGAUUGAAUAUUUUAUUUUUUCUCAAAGGUUUUAGGAGCCUAGGAAAUCCAAGAUCCAUAGGUAAUAAAAUAAAUCACUAUUACAUUACGAUCAGUUAUAAAGUUUCGGCGCUUUGAUCA
Nicotiana tabacum (common tobacco) is the source of this 752-nucleotide long non-coding RNA. RefSeq lists it as uncharacterized. The record is from RefSeq and is a predicted model, not a curated record. NCBI's taxonomy places the organism in Eukaryota, Viridiplantae, Streptophyta, Magnoliopsida, Solanales, Solanaceae.